RNAcentral lists this ribosomal RNA (489 nucleotides) under uncultured bacterium. RNAcentral's name for it is "partial 16S ribosomal RNA". It matches the Rfam family "Bacterial small subunit ribosomal RNA", at positions 28 to 507 of the family's 1533-position model. The record is from RNAcentral.
GAUGAACGCUAGCGGGAGGCCUAACACAUGCAAGCCGAGCGGGAUUUGUUGGUUAGCUUGCUAACUAACAAUGAGAGCGGCGUACGGGUGCGUAGCACGUGUGCAACCUGCCUUUAUCUGGGGGAUAGCCUUUCGAAAGGAAGAUUAAUACCCCAUAACAUAUUGAUUGGCAUCAGUUAAUAUUGAAAGCUCCGGCGGAUAGAGAUGGGCACGCGUAAGAUUAGCUAGUUGGUGAGGUAACGGCUCACCAAGGCUGCGAUCUUUAGGGGGCCUGAGAGGGUGAUCCCCCACACUGGUACUGAGACACGGACCAGACUCCUACGGGAGGCAGCAGUGAGGAAUAUUAGACAAUGGGUGAGAGCCUGAUCCAGCCAUCCCGCGUGAAGGACUAAGGACCUAUGGUUUGUAAACUUCUUUUAUACAGGGAUAAACCUACUCUCGUGAGGGUAGCUGAAGGUACUGUAUGAAUAAGCACCGGCUAACUCCGUG